CUAGGUAGCUCAGCGCGGUAGAGCAGCGAGCGCUAGCGGUCAUGAACGCAAACGCUCAUCCAAUGCAGGUCGCGGGUUCGACUCCCGCCCUAGACCA
RNAcentral lists this transfer RNA (97 nucleotides) under Pseudomonas aeruginosa. RNAcentral describes it as "tRNA-OTHER". It matches the Rfam family "tRNA". Rfam says of the family: Transfer RNA (tRNA) molecules are approximately 80 nucleotides in length. Their secondary structure includes four short double-helical elements and three loops (D, anti-codon, and T loops). The record is from RNAcentral. Lineage: Bacteria; Pseudomonadati; Pseudomonadota; Gammaproteobacteria; Pseudomonadales; Pseudomonadaceae.